GAUGAAGAACGUAGCGAAAUGCGAUACUUGGUGUGAAUUGCAGAAUCCCGUGAACCAUCGAGUCUUUGAACGCAAGUUGCGCCCGAAGCCUCGGCUAAGGGCACGUCUGCCUGGGCGUCACGCAUCGCGUCUCCCCCAAACCGCCAAGGCGGAGGGGAAGGAAGAUGGCUUCCCGUGCCUCACCCGGGCGCGGUUGGCCUAAAUUUGGAGCCCGCGGCACUUAGCUCUCGCGGCGAUAGGUGGUGAACAAGGCCUUGGCCGUGCAAACAACCCGCUGCGAAGCUCUAUGUCACGUGCGCUCGUCGGACCCUUUGAAGUUGCCUUCGGUGACUUAAAACCUUUGCGACCCCAGGUCAGGCGGGGCUACCCGCUGAAUUUAAGCAUAUCAAAAGCGGAGGA
RNAcentral lists this unclassified non-coding RNA (399 nucleotides) under soil metagenome. Its description in RNAcentral is "partial contains 5.8S ribosomal RNA, internal transcribed spacer 2, and large subunit ribosomal RNA". The stretch from base 1 to 120 matches the Rfam family "5.8S ribosomal RNA", at positions 35 to 154 of the family's 154-position model. The record is from RNAcentral.